This 1184-nucleotide long non-coding RNA is filed under the name Serinus canaria (Common canary). Its description in RNAcentral is "lncRNA (ENSSCAG00000002355.1)". The record is from RNAcentral. Lineage: Eukaryota; Metazoa; Chordata; Aves; Passeriformes; Fringillidae.
GUCAGAGCAGUGUCUGUGUGUCAGUCCAGAGUGAUUCUGUCAGUUCCACCAGAGUCAGAGCAGUGUCUGUGUCACCGACAUGGCAGCCCUGACACUUUUCCAUGUGGGAUUCCAGCCUGAAGGACACAGGUCAUUUAAGCAAUCAGGAAUUUCAUGUCAGUGACCUUCAUGCCAAGAGGCAGAACUCAGGGUAGGGGCAAAACCAGCAGCUGGAGGUUGGAUCUAGGCUGGAUCCUCCCUUCCUGUGCCCAGUAGUUUCUUCUCUGUUUUCUUGCUGCACUUCCACCUUUGCCUCACUUAGUUUGUAAACCCCCGUCCCUUUGCAGAUCUCUGUGUCCAAAAUUGGCAGAAGUUCCUCAGCUUUCUCACUUAUGCCAUUUUCUGGCCUGUUUAUAUCCCAUAAAUCAAGUCAGUGAUGAGCUUGGCAUGGGAUGGGGAAGAUUUUCAUGGCAGGAUCAGUUUCUCCCCUUUAAUUAAACAUUACAGGUUCCUCAUGAACCUUCCCCCUGAGAAACUUUUUUGAAAAGUUUUAACAGAGUAAUUUAUGGGGAAUCUGUUUUGAUGUGCAGAUCUGGGCCCCAGUUCCAGCCUUGCACACAAUACCAGAGCUCCUGUAAAUCAUCUGCCUUUGCUGGAUCUGCCCUGGCACUGGGAGUCAGAGGGUUUGUCACCCGAGGAGCUGAGCUGUGCUUGCCUGUGACAGAUGGCAGUGCCCCGGUGAGCAGCGACAGCCAGGGGAGAGCACGGAGCCCAUGGAAUAGAGGAGGAGAACCUCUCCGAGCAGGACCGGGACCAGCCCGAGGCAGAGCCAGGAGCCGGACAUGCCAGAGCCAGCCCCGCUCGGCGGGGACAGGAAAGCGGCGGAGAAGAAGCGGGUGGAGAAGGUGGGAGCCAAGGGCAGCGCUGCCGGGCCGCCAGGUGGGUGUGUGGGAAAGGCCUUCCCUGCCCCAGAACGGCCACCCUGGCCCACGGUGGCCACAGGGCCACAGUCCCCUGUCCCCGGCCAGCCCGGGAGGCGCUGUCUGGUCAUGGAAAGGGGAAAUCAGUGGGGAAGUCACUGACACGGGGAUGGAGAUGGGGCUCCUCAGCCGCCUGCUAGAUCCUCCUCCUCCUCCUCUCCACUCUGCCCAGAUUUGCUGCUGGAGGAGGAGCACGGGCACAGCUUUUCCCAGCUUGAUCGCCAG